UACGGAGGGGGCUAGCGUUAUUCGGAAUUACUGGGCGUAAAGCGUGCGUAGGCGGACCCUUAAGUCUCUUGUCUAAGCCCCCGGCUCAACCGGGGAAUGGCGCGAGAUACUGGGGGACUGGAGUGCCGGAAGGGAAAGUAGAAUUCCUGGUGUAGCGGUGAAAUGCGUAGAGAUCAGGAGGAAUACCGGUGGCGUAAGCGACUUUCUAGACGGCAACUGACGCUGAGGUACGAAAGCCAGGGGAGCAAACGGG
This 253-nucleotide ribosomal RNA is filed under the name uncultured bacterium. Its description in RNAcentral is "partial 16S ribosomal RNA". It matches the Rfam family "Bacterial small subunit ribosomal RNA", at positions 524 to 776 of the family's 1533-position model. The record is from RNAcentral.